AUUGAACGCUGGCGGCAGGCCUAACACAUGCAAGUCGAGCGGAUGAAGGGAGCUUGCUCCUGGAUUCAGCGGCGGACGGGUGAGUAAUGCCUAGGAAUCUGCCUGGUAGUGGGGGAUAACGUCCGGAAACGGGCGCUAAUACCGCAUACGUCCUGAGGGAGAAAGUGGGGGAUCUUCGGACCUCACGCUAUCAGAUGAGCCUAGGUCGGAUUAGCUAGUUGGUGGGGUAAAGGCCUACCAAGGCGACGAUCCGUAACUGGUCUGGGAGGAUGAUCAGUCACACUGGAACUGAGACACGGUCCAGACUCCUACGGGAGGCAGCAGUGGGGAAUAUUGGACAAUGGGCGAAAGCCUGAUCCAGCCAUGCCGCGUGUGUGAAGAAGGUCUUCGGAUUGUAAAGCACUUUAAGUUGGGAGGAAGGGCAGUAAGUUAAUACCUUGCUGUUUGACGUUACCAACAGAAUAAGCACCAGCUAACUUCGUG
This 483-nucleotide ribosomal RNA is filed under the name uncultured bacterium. RNAcentral describes it as "partial 16S ribosomal RNA". It matches the Rfam family "Bacterial small subunit ribosomal RNA", at positions 30 to 507 of the family's 1533-position model. The record is from RNAcentral.